GUAAUAAUCCUGUAGUCGAAAAUGUUGUCUCUCUUGAGUGGAUCCUGAGUACGACGGAGCACGUGAAAUUCCGUCGGAAUCUGGGAGGACCAUCUCCUAAGGCUAAAUACUCUCUAGUGACCGAUAGUGAACCAGUACCGUGAGGGAAAGGUGAAAAGCACCCCGGAAGGGGAGUGAAAUAGAACCUGAAACCGUGUGCUUACAAGUAGUCAGAGCCCGUUAAUGGGUGAUGGCGUGCCUUUUGUAGAAUGAACCGGCGAGUUACGAUUUGAUGCAAGGUUAAGCAGUAAAUGUGGAGCCGUAGCGAAAGCGAGUCUGAAUAGGGCGUUUAGUAUUUGGUCGUAGACCCGAAACCAGGUGAUCUACCCUUGGUCAGGUUGAAGUUCAGGUAACACUGAAUGGAGGACCGAACCGACUUACGUUGAAAAGUGAGCGGAUGAACUGAGGGUAGCGGAGAAAUUCCAAUCGAACCUGGAGAUAGCUGGUUCUCUCCGAAAUAGCUUUAGGGCUAGCCUCAAGUGAUGAUUAUUGGAGGUAGAG
This 540-nucleotide ribosomal RNA is filed under the name Staphylococcus aureus. Its description in RNAcentral is "partial 23S ribosomal RNA". It matches the Rfam family "Bacterial large subunit ribosomal RNA", at positions 364 to 907 of the family's 2925-position model. Lineage: Bacteria; Bacillati; Bacillota; Bacilli; Caryophanales; Staphylococcaceae. The record is from RNAcentral.